CACACCCCAAGCUUGGCUUGAUGUUGGACGACGUCUGUAACGAGACGGGUCUGGAACGUGUAGGCGCCGCCGCCGGACCACGAGCGUAGCAAGACGCAAGUCAGUCGCUUCUGUGGGCACGGUUGGACGGCCGCCGAGAGCACCUGGUAACGCAGGGCUCGAGCAACGAUUUUUA
RNAcentral lists this unclassified non-coding RNA (175 nucleotides) under Scolecobasidium bacilliforme. Its description in RNAcentral is "partial internal transcribed spacer 2". Lineage: Eukaryota; Fungi; Ascomycota; Dothideomycetes; Venturiales; Sympoventuriaceae. The record is from RNAcentral.